RNAcentral lists this ribosomal RNA (210 nucleotides) under Leclercia barmai. RNAcentral's name for it is "partial 23S ribosomal RNA". It matches the Rfam family "Bacterial large subunit ribosomal RNA", at positions 1161 to 1369 of the family's 2925-position model. RNAcentral also lists the same sequence under 2 other names. Lineage: Bacteria; Pseudomonadati; Pseudomonadota; Gammaproteobacteria; Enterobacterales; Enterobacteriaceae. The record is from RNAcentral.
GCGCGGAAGAUGUAACGGGGCUAAACCAUGCACCGAAGCUGCGGCAGCGACGCUUAUGCGUUGUUGGGUAGGGGAGCGUUCUGUAAGCCGUUGAAGGUGUGCUGUGAGGCAUGCUGGAGGUAUCAGAAGUGCGAAUGCUGACAUAAGUAACGAUAAAGCGGGUGAAAAGCCCGCUCGCCGGAAGACCAAGGGUUCCUGUCCAACGUUAAU